This 506-nucleotide ribosomal RNA is filed under the name uncultured bacterium. Its description in RNAcentral is "partial 16S ribosomal RNA". It matches the Rfam family "Bacterial small subunit ribosomal RNA", at positions 30 to 523 of the family's 1533-position model. The record is from RNAcentral.
AUUGAACGCUGGCGGCAUGCCUUACACAUGCAAGUCGAACGGCAGCAUGAUCUAGCUUGCUAGAUUGAUGGCGAGUGGCGAACGGGUGAGUAAUAUAUCGGAACGUGCCCUAGAGUGGGGGAUAACUAGUCGAAAGACUAGCUAAUACCGCAUACGAUCUACGGAUGAAGGUGGGGGAUCGCAAGACCUCAUGCUCCUGGAGCGGCCGAUAUCUGAUUAGCUAGUUGGUGGGGUAAAAGCCUACCAAGGCGACGAUCAGUAGCUGGUCUGAGAGGACGACCAGCCACACUGGGACUGAGACACGGCCCAGACUCCUACGGGAGGCAGCAGUGGGGAAUUUUGGACAAUGGGGGCAACCCUGAUCCAGCAAUGCCGCGUGAGUGAAGAAGGCCUUCGGGUUGUAAAGCUCUUUUGUCAGGGAAGAAACGGUAGUAGCGAAUAACUAUUACUAAUGACGGUACCUGAAGAAUAAGCACCGGCUAACUACGUGCCAGCCGCCGCGGUAA